Molecule: long non-coding RNA, 1409 nt
Filed under: Oryctolagus cuniculus (rabbit)
Lineage: Eukaryota; Metazoa; Chordata; Mammalia; Lagomorpha; Leporidae
Description: lncRNA (ENSOCUG00000036086.1)
Source: RNAcentral
UCUCUCUCUCACAGUCUAUAACUCUACCUGUCAAAUAAAUUUAAAAAAUUAAAAAAAAAAAAGAAGUGAACUUUGCAAGUAUUUUUUUGUCGUCUGGCACAGUGGUACCUGUUGUCCUAUUGGUUUGUCCUCACACUGGAUGAAAAGGAGUUUCUUUUUCUGAGUUUUACUGUGCACUGCUUGUCAAAUUCCUGUGCAGUGUACAGAUUCUCCAGGACUUUCUCUUGUAGAGGAAGUAGGUCACAGAGCCCCAUAUCUGCAGCUGAACUUGACCCAGAGCAGCCAGAAGUUUCUCUGGAACCUCCUCUGUUGACUUCAGACUCUGAUACUGCCAGCAAGGCACCAGGCUAAGAACAAUAUCUCCCAACACUCUUCUGGUGAGUUCCAAAGCCCGACACUUACCCAUGAUGGCUUCCUCAGCAUUUCAGAGGACAGACUUCCAGAAAAUCCUGCUUGCAGAGUGCCUCAGCUCCUUCUUGCUAAUCAGUGAGCCACAGCCAUGCCCUCUUCAGUGAGAUCUGUUUCUCAGGCCUGUUUAGUGAGUUCUUCCGUGGACACACUCUCUCAGUGCUAGGUUAUAGUAGCUUCUCCCGAAACCAACCUGGGGCCAGGCGCCCCAGGUAGGCAAACUUCCGCGUGGGCUUCAGCCGCACGACGUUGAGCCUCCCGGGGACCACCAUCCGCUUUUUCUUGUCGUAGGGCAGCGGGAUUCCAUCGAAUACCUUGAGGCGGUCCAGGGCAGCCUGGCCCCACUUGGUCUUAUGGGGCAGCAUGCCUCGCACGGUUCGCCAGAAGAUGCGGCUGCGGGCCUGGAAGUGGUAGGGGCCCCGGGAUGGGUUGGCGUUCAUCCGCUUGCGGAGGAAGGCCAGGUACUUCACCAGCAGCGCCUGCUUGGCCACGAUGGCCGCCAGGUGGCCCGAGAGGUGGCCUGGCCGUCCAGCACCAGGACCUGCCCCUCUGCCAUCUUCAGCAGCUGCCUGGGAAAAACUUUAAAGAUAUAAUUUUUUUUUUUUGACAGGCGGAGCGGACAGUGAGAGAGAGAGACAGAGAGAAAGGUCUUCCUUUUGCCGUUGGUUCACCCUCCAAUGGCUGCCGCGGCCGGCGUACCGCACUGAUCCGAAGGCAGGAGCCAGGUACUUCUCCUGGUCUCCCAUGGGGUGCAGGGCCCAAGCACUUGGGCCAUCCUCCACUGCACUCCCUGGCCACAGCAGAGGGCUGGCCUGGAAGAGGGGCAAUCGGGACAGAAUCUGGUGCCCCGACUGGGACUAGAACCUGGUGUGCCGGCGCCGCUAGGUGGAGGAUUAGCCUAUUGAGCCGCGGCGCCAGCUGAAAAGAUAUAAUUUCAAAAGCAUCAUUCUAUACUCAGAUAAACUCAAUAUUAUAUAUGUAGGAGGUCUUUAAUAAAUGUU